ACAGGACGUAAUUUAAGACUAGCAAAAUACCUCUCUUACACUGAGGAGUUAUCCGUGCAACCCGGGUCGCCCUGA
This 75-nucleotide transfer RNA is filed under the name Iracundus signifer. RNAcentral's name for it is "tRNA-Val". Lineage: Eukaryota; Metazoa; Chordata; Actinopteri; Perciformes; Scorpaenidae. The record is from RNAcentral.